GGCGGUUCUGGGGUGACACACCCUGGAAUUGGGCUCUCUCCUCUCUGGUUCCAGGUGUGUCACCUGAGAACUGCA
Myotis brandtii (Brandt's bat) is the source of this 75-nucleotide non-coding RNA. Lineage: Eukaryota; Metazoa; Chordata; Mammalia; Chiroptera; Vespertilionidae. The record is from Rfam.